GGUGGGAUACUCAAGUGGCCAACGAGGGCAGACUGUAAAUCUGCUGGCUUUUGCCUUCGGAGGUUCGAAUCCUCCUCCCACCACCA
This 86-nucleotide transfer RNA is filed under the name Campylobacterota bacterium. RNAcentral describes it as "Epsilonproteobacteria bacterium (hydrothermal vent metagenome) tRNA-Tyr". It matches the Rfam family "tRNA". From Rfam's summary of the family: Transfer RNA (tRNA) molecules are approximately 80 nucleotides in length. Their secondary structure includes four short double-helical elements and three loops (D, anti-codon, and T loops). The record is from RNAcentral. Lineage: Bacteria; Pseudomonadati; Campylobacterota.